RNAcentral lists this long non-coding RNA (6787 nucleotides) under Lynx pardinus (Iberian lynx). Lineage: Eukaryota; Metazoa; Chordata; Mammalia; Carnivora; Felidae. The record is from RNAcentral.
CCGAGCCCGGCAACUUGCGAGCCGGGAAAAGUUUGCGGCGCCUCCGCGGGGCGGCGCGGCGCGGCGCGGCCCGCCCCUGGCGUCCACGGUCACCGCCGGUGACUUUCUGGACUCGUCGUCAGCCCGGGCCGCGGCGCGGCCGGUGGCGACUGCGGGGAGGGCCAGAGUACGUCCGAGGGCUCCCGCGCAAGGGGCUGCGGGUGAGUUGGCUUUUCCGGCACGAGGGGCUUCAGCGGUCCGGGGUGUCUGGGUUUGGGAGAAGGCAAGGAGAGUGCCUUUUAAUACUUUUUAGAGCAGGCGGGGAGAACAAAUAAAAGUGCGAUUGCUUAAGAGUCGCUGACCUGCCACUGACUUGUGAACCGUAUCGGUGGGAACCUUUUAGGAGCCAGAACUACUGAGGGCCUGUGCGGCGUGGGGGUUGGGAGGUGGAAAGAUUAGAAGGUCGCGCACCAGCCCUGCCUGUAACUGGCUCUGCGUGACCUUGGACAAGUGACUUAACUACUUAGAUCUCCUCAUCGGUGAUACAUGAGGCUAGAGCUACAUGAUCUGUGGUGUCUUUCCGUUUUUUAAAUACAUCUCGGUUUGAGAUUUUCCUUGGGCCUCAGCGUGGUACACGAAUUAUGAACCAGUAGGCCAGGAUAUAUUUACAGGCGCAUGGAUUCACCUUUCAGCCUGCUGAUAAGUAACUUUUAAGUCUGAUGUUUUCAAACAGUAAUAUUUGAGGGUUUGAGAGGGUUUUUUUAGUGAGAAAUAAACUAUCCUUUGCUUUAAAACACUUCUUAAAACUGAUCUACUUUGCUGCACCAUUUGGAGUAGUAGGAGCCAGGCUGGGGACAGAGAACCAAGCCUGAGGGUAAAGUGGCAGGUGCCUCCAGCGAUCCCUUCAUCCCAUCUCUGACUCAAUUUAGGGGGAGAACAAGGCUCUUAUUAUACACACGAGAGAGUAAACAGGGCAGGUGUUUUGUUGUCACUGUUUUUCUGUAUUGCUUCUUUCUACUGAAAACUUUUGUGUGGAGGGCAGUGGGGGAGUAGUGGUCUCUAACUUCUGGCAAAGGAAAAGAAAAUGUCACUUACAACCAAAGUAAGUCUUAAACUAAUGUAAAUCUUCCUUACAGAAACAGUAACACAUAAUGCAAGUACAUCUUGAUCUAAUUUUAAUGAAGGAUUGAAAAUAGCUGCUAUGUUCAGUAUCACUGAUGCCAAGAUGGCUUACUUACAUAAUCUUCUUUGUUGGGAUGUGUUAGUGACGUGUAUAAUUUUGAUAAAUUAUUAAUGUUAAAGGUUUAGUCUGAGAAUGCUUUUGGAAUAUUGUCAUUACAGGUUGUGUUGCAAUACAAUGAAGUGUUAACUUUCCUUUAUAAUGAUAACGUGCAUUUUUUCCCCAAAAAGUGAAAUCAAGCAUUUUCCCUAACCCAAAUUCUUUUAACUAUUAUAUAUUCAUCAGUACAGAAUACAGGAGAAGUUAUUUUGUUCUCUCAAUAAUAAAUUUUCCCAGUUUUGUCAUUAUUUAUGAGCAUGCCUUCUAGGAGUUAGGUGCUCCACUGGACAUUUUCUCUUCUCGUGGAGCUUAUAACAACAAAAGAUGAUUUCUUUUAAUGUAAGUGCAUAAAUAUACUCAAUAAAUACUCACUGGAAAAAAUACCCAGUGCUCAGAUAAGAAUAAUUUAAAAUUCUUUUCGCCCAUCCUUAAAGAGAAUCAUUAUCAUGCUUUAGGGGAAAGAGAGAAGGUGUCAAAGAAAACUGGCAGAAAAACCAAGCUUAAUUCCAGUAUCUAUCCUGAAAGAUUGUAUUUUAAAAUAGGGAUACAGAUUUAGAAACAAAGACAAUUGAUAGGGUUUAUAGGCAAAAGAUAGCAAUACUGAUUUAACAUAAUACAUUUUAUGACCUAGCUUUCUUUGAAGAGCACAAACCUUUGAAAAGGUAUGUUUCGGGAAUUAUCAGUAGUUGUUUACAUUGUGAUUGAAUGUCUAAUUAAAUGGCCAAAUCAUAACCAUAAUAUUUCAAUAGAGUGUUAUCUGAUUUUUAAACUCAUUGUUAAAAUAACAUGAAAUGAACCUUUCAAUGUAGUUGCAUGAAGGAAAGUAUACCUUUUGAAAUCAACUAAAUCUGCAGUUAAAAAAUUAACUCCAAUCUUACACCAAAUAUAAAAUAAGCACUGGAAGUAGCAUCUUUCCAAGAAGGUCUUCACUCUAGAUAAAUGCUAUGUGUGUAGAGGGAUCCUGUGUGGACCACAUCAUGUAUAAAAUAUUCUGAUUUUCCUAAGGGAAAAUAGUCUAUGUAUGUGUAAUAGUCUAUUUGUUGACAUAAGGAAUUUAAGUCCCCAAUAUUUAUAAGCCUGGAAACUUCUGGAAAGCCUUCUAGACUUAUUUAAAAGUAACCACUCAACCUAAAACAUGGCAUUGAUAUUUGAACAACAAGCUGACUUUGUAGAAUGUGCAUUCUCCUCAUAGCAGGUUUGCUGGUUUGGCUGUCUUACAGGGGGUUAGAGCAGUGAAGUGAGUAUGGUCCUUUGACCACUUGUAUCAGAAUCUUCUGUAGCACCUGGCAAACUUCAGACUGCUGGGCAACUUCCUACACUUAAAGGAUCAGAAUGUCUGUGAGCAGAACCUAGAGUCUGUAUUCUUAAUAAGCUUCCUCCCAAAGUGAGAAUUAAUCACACUAAAUUUUGAGAAUUAGAGUUUUCUUGCCAAUGUUUAAUGGCAACUGUUGCUUUCCCCAGGAACAUUUAAAAAGUACUUCUACCCCACCAUGCUCUCUGCCCUGAUCACUUCCUCUCCAGCACCAAAAUUGGUGGUUUCAUCUCUUAGUUGUGGCCAGGGAUCUCCUCACAAGCCACUUCUAUAAGCAAGCCAAAAUACCACCUACCUUCUAAUUAAUAAGCACAGUUAAGCCUGCUUUGGAGCACAGGGCCAAGAGACCCCUUCUACUAUGGGAUAUUCCCACCACCCUCUCUUCCAGUCACCUCCUAAGUCAACUAGAGACAUUAAGUUUCAAGCAAAUAAUUGGGAAUGGACCCCAAGGAGCAGAAGGUGUGAGAGGGAACAGAGCUAGAAUGCAGCAUGGAAACCUAUCCCCUCAACAUAGUUUAACACCCAUAUUUGAUGAUUUUAGUUCUCAAGCUGAUAUUUUGGCAGUCAAGCAAGUGGCUGAACCCAGGCCCCAUGCUGUCUUAUUAAAACUUUCAUUUGCAAACCCAUAAAAUGGCUUCUGUAACCUCUGUAUGCAUAAAACCCCAACAUUUCAGUAUUUUCAUGUUUAUUGAAGAAAAAGGGAAGAGUUUAGGAGAGAAGUUCAAAGCAUAGGCCAAGGGGUCAGCCACACCUGAUACAAAUCCUAGCGUUGCCAUUUAUUAGCUAGGUGACUUUGAGCUGUACCCUCUACCUACCCUCUAUGCUUUAGUUUCCUUACUUGGAAAAUGAGGAUAAUAGUAUCCGCCUCAUAGGAGUUGUUUUGGUAAUUAUGUAAUACACAAAUUAGUGACAGAUAAUAAUUUUCACUCAGUACAUACUCCAUAUAUGUACUUUUAAUUUAUUAUAGUAAUUUUUUAAAAAUUUCUUUUCUAGCCCUGGAGAGUUGCUGUAGAAGAGGGAUAAGAGAGGAAGACAACACAGGAGGAGAUAAGUCACUCUGGAUACAAGGGAAGGUCAUACCACUAUAUAGUAAUUAUUGAGCAGAGGGGAAAGGGACAAGGGAAGGAGUAGACUGCAGUCCAGCUAAUAACCUGGGUUUCCUCAUGUAUCACCCUGGCUCAGGUGCUGUCUCCUCUACCCCCUCCCUUUUUAUACCCCUUUAUUUAGUACUUAAAUACUUUUCUGAUUCACUUUGAGAAACAUUGAUUAUGUUGUCUGCCUCAAAAUGUUAAUCUUGGUUUUGGAUUUUAGGCUCUGUGAUCCUCAACCUUGCAAUGGCUUAGGGGUAGCAACUGUCUCCUCUCUUGGAAUCUAGCCUUUGGAAUUAUUGAAGGGCAGAGAUUUCUGUCUCUGACCCCAAAGGAAUAGAUCCAGAAUCCAUCUCCAAAUUUGCCUUGUCAGAGAAGUGUAUGCCAUCAAGACAUGGCGAUGUGAUCAGACAGGCCACUGCCCCUGACUUUGAAAAAUACCUUUACUUUCUAGAGCUCAUGUACUUUCCAAAGUACUUUGUCUCUCAUUAGCUUACUUUCCCCUUACAAACAGUCCUGUAAAAUAUUAACAUUAGUAGACAGACUCCUACAAGGCCCCUCAAAUCUUGCAAGGCUAUUCUUUGCUAUCUUCACAUUAUUUUUUUUUUAUUUUCCUAAAAUUGAAAACCUUUCAUCACUUUCUAUUUGUACCCAUAUCAAAUGGAGCCUCCUCUGCUUGGCUUAUAUGGUGACCUUAAAACCAGUGUCCUAUCCUACUCUGAAUAUAUUCUCCACAUAGUUGCUGGAACAUGGAACACUUAACCACCGGCCUUAGCCCAUAUUACUUCCCUUAUUAGUGAUGCCUCCUCGAACCGCUCAGAUUCUACCCAUUCUUCAGUUUCUAACUCCUCCUUGGAGCCUUCCUAGAUCAUUAAUUCCUUAAAUGUUACAUCUUGCUCUGAAUUCCAAUGGUAGCCACAGCUAUUUGGUCAAUUAUAACCUGGUAUUAAAGUCCUAAUGGAGAAAAAAUAUAGCAUAAAUUUGAUAAGUAGAAGAAAACACUAGACUAAGUCAGUUUUAGAAGACUUGAUAUCUACUAAAGAGCUGUGGGAGCCAAGCCAGAUUGCUUUACCUUUGUGGUUUAACAUUUUCUGAGUUGUUAACGUUAAGAGUUUGGGGCAGAUGAUGUCGAUGGUUCCUUCUUAUUCUGAGGCUUUGGGACAACUUGACCUUCCUAAUGUCAGAUAGGAUUGGGGCUCUUAAUUGAGUUCUUGGAUAAAAAGGUCAGGAAUGGGCACUCAGUUCCUUCAGGACUUGUUCUAUCCCACAGAUUUCUGAUGCUAAACAUGGCAAUUUUUGAAAGCUGUCUACCUUUUUUGUUAAGCUUUUUAACCACAAGCAUUCAGGGAAGGUUAAUGGGGGUGAGUUAGGUAGCAGGAUGAUGCAUUAAGGAUAAUAAAGAGUCAUUUUGUGAAUGACUUCCUAUGAGGGAAUAAAUAAGGUCAGCUAUUGAAUAAACCAUAAAUCUUAGCAUUUAAAAUUUACUUUGCAUUUCAUCUUCAUUGAGUAGUGCUAUAUAUAAAAUACAGUUAUAUUUUCUUCUUAAUCCUUUCAUAAGUUGAAAAACGUUAAAAUAGUCAAACUGUAGGAUAGACACUAGAUUACUUUCCAUAGUAAUACAUGUUGUAAGUCUGCGUGUCUGUGUGUGUGUGUGUAUGUGUGUGUGUGUAUCAUAUGCACAUUACACUUAAAUUAAGAAGGGUAUCCCUAAGUUAUAAGGUGCCAUUAUACAUUGACCAGAUUUAAGAAGAGUAUCUCUUUAAAAUGUGUUGACAUUUAAUUGACCUUUGAAAAUUCAUUCUGUUAAUCAUACUCAAAGUGCUAAAGCUAUGGUUGACUGCUCUGGUGUUUUUACAUUCAGUCGUGCUUAGCAUAUAAAUUCUUCAGUAUAAUUGUUACUUAUUUAGCAAGAGUUUCCUUUCUUCUUUGGAAAUAUGAGUUGUGUUUUAUUUUUGCAUCUUUUUUUUAACUUUGCUUCAGACUGGAUAGUGUUAGAGGUUUGAAUUGAAAUGCCUUCCUGUCAUUAGUUGUAUGGGGUGUGGCUCCUUAAUAUAGGAGUAAUGGAAAUUUCUUGCUUAGUGGAAGCAUACUUUUCUUCUGGCAGAAGUUUGAGGUGUGCUGCUAAAAUUUAGAGAAGCUUAGCACCUCAACACUACAUAUUUUUAACAUAAUAAAGUUUUGAAAAUCUUUCAAGUCCAUUUAUGUAAACUAAAACUAUCAGUACGAAUACUUCUCAAUUAUUAAACAAGGACUCAGGGGAUUUGUUUUCAUAGUAAACUCUUAAUUAUAUUCCUUGAAUCGCUGUGAGUGGAAUUUAACUUUAUUAUGAAGGAUGUACUUGUUUAAAAAAAUGUCAAAUAUGUUUCUUUUUAAAGCUUAACAUUUUAUUACUAUCACCUAGAGAACUUCUGCGGAAUUGUUUACAAAUUUCUGGGUAUUAAAUUUAUGAAAUCAGUCUGUGGAAAUAAUUUUUAAUAUGGUUCACUGUCUUACAUGUUUCUAAAUUAAUAUUUCUAAUGAUCAUGAAAAAGUAGCUACACUUUUUGCUAAAUGUUAAUAGAAAAAUAAAAACGUAUAAUUUCCUGUGUUUGCUAGCUUAUCUUUGAGAUUCUAGACAUGGUUUGCAAAAUAUUUUUAUCUUAAAAGCUGUUUUUAAAUAGAGAAGAUAAAGUUUAAACCAUAGUUUUUAUUUUCAUGAAGUCAUCUUACACUUUUCACCUGUGUAGCUCCAUAUUUGAGAUCUGUUCUGUUCCCUGUUUUAUAAGUUUUGAUGUCAUGAUAUCCUUUAUUUAUUCACAUAUUAUAAGCAUGGUAAACAGUCUCAUCUCGUGAAACUGACCUUAUUUUCUUUUCAUUGUCUCUCCUUCCACAGUGUCCUUUUUUUCCCUGCCUUUUUCUGUUUCUAGUUUUACAACUUACGCUGUCCUUUUCAUCUCAUUAUAGCCCCACUUCCAAAGGAAAAUAAGUUCUUUUGCCUUAGCCCAAACAUUUAACUUCAAAUUCUAUCCUUUUUUAGAAUAUACAAUGAAGCCUCUUAAGGAAUAUUAUCUAAAUAAUGCAUAAAGGAUGCAAAUGACUGCAGUGCUGAAUUGCAAUGCUGCAAUGCAAUGUACCUGAAUAGUCAGACAU